This 392-nucleotide unclassified non-coding RNA is filed under the name soil metagenome. RNAcentral's name for it is "partial contains 5.8S ribosomal RNA, internal transcribed spacer 2, and large subunit ribosomal RNA". The stretch from base 1 to 120 matches the Rfam family "5.8S ribosomal RNA", at positions 35 to 154 of the family's 154-position model. The record is from RNAcentral.
GAUGAAGAACGCAGCGAAAUGCGAUAAGUAAUGUGAAUUGCAGAAUUCAGUGAAUCAUCGAAUCUUUGAACGCACCUUGCGCUCCUUGGUAUUCCGAGGAGCAUGCCUGUUUGAGUGUCAUUAAAUUCUCAAUCUUCUAAAAGCCCUUGUGGGUUGUUAGUAGAUUGGAGGUGGGGGUUUUAUGUGGGUUCACCUGUUGAAUCUGCUCUCCUAAAAUUUAUCAGCUGGAAUGCCUUUGCAAAACCAACUAUCAGUAUGAUAAUUAUCUAUGCUGGUGUUGUUGUGAAAGGGAAUCUACUUUCAAACUGUCUUCUUUGAGACAAAGUGAACCAAUUUGACCUCAAAUCAGGUAGGACUACCCGCUGAACUUAAGCAUAUCAAUAAGCGGAGGA